Molecule: long non-coding RNA, 875 nt
Filed under: Salmo salar (Atlantic salmon)
Lineage: Eukaryota; Metazoa; Chordata; Actinopteri; Salmoniformes; Salmonidae
Description: lncRNA (ENSSSAG00000088889.1)
Source: RNAcentral
GCUUCUUUUUAUGUCCUGUGUUGGUUGUUGUGGCGGUCAGUGAAAGGUUUUUUAUUAUUUUGUAUUAUUUUGUAGCUGGGCAUUCAGAGCUCAGCAUCACAAAGACAAAUGUGGAGUGACAAUGUGAAUUACAGACCAGAGACAUCUUCAUCAGCACCGUGUGUGCGCGCGUGUACCCGUCCCUGCAGCAGUAUAAUACAAUGAGCCAGAUUUGCCAUCCUAUCAAAGGGUACCAGAGAUGAGUAAACGAAUACAUGAAUAAAGGUGCCUAGAUUACUUAUAAAUGUAAGAAGGUUUUUAAACCUUGUCACCUUAGUUACAUUGACCUUUCUUGGUUGUAGUGGCUCUCACCUGAAUCCACCCUUCCAGUGGGAUCAAGAUAAUCCUGAUGUUCAGUAUCAAAACUCUCCUAAUCACCUGGAAAACGCAAAAACAACAUUUAAUCCCGAUUAAAUGUCAGAAUGGAUUACCAAAUCUGAACACAAUUUUAACAUUUAAUCCUAUCCAACUUCCGAAAUCUGAUCAGAUAACUUUCUAAAAACUGGGCCCUUGUGGCAGUGACUGAGAGAGGCACUUAUCCAGGCAGAUAUUUUAGCUUAGGUGGCACUAUGGCACAGAAGAACAGUGCAUUGACAGUGGCAGGCUCCCCGGAGCGGAUGCAUAAGGCAGGUGCCAAGCCCCUACUACUCUUGUGCAAGGCACCCCUCAACCUGGGGGGAGAUGGCAGCUCUGAGUCCUGGCUUCCAAAUCAUCAGUGAGCAGCUGCAGAGGAGCUCUCUGAGAGCUGGAGGGCAGCAGUGGCAUGGUUUUCUCUUGGCUGGAGGAUGGUGGGUGGCAGGAGGACAGAGCCAGUAGUGGGAAAUACUGUUGUUGAG